Vidua macroura (Pin-tailed whydah) is the source of this 298-nucleotide long non-coding RNA. RefSeq lists it as uncharacterized. The record is from RefSeq and is a predicted model, not a curated record. NCBI's taxonomy places the organism in Eukaryota, Metazoa, Chordata, Aves, Passeriformes, Viduidae. The transcript is spliced from 3 exons.
GAAAAAUACUCUAAAUCUCAUCAAGCAACUUCUCCAUGUCCAAGAGAAAGAUCCUCCCACCUGCAGCUGGAAAAGAAGUGAGGGAAGGGAAUAGAUCCUCAGCUUCCAUUAGUCCAUUAUUGCAGAGGAAUUGUGCUCCAAAGUGAAGGAAACUGAAAGCUGAAGUCCAUCAGGUUCAUCCAUCUCUCAGCUUCAUUUUCGGAGGAAGAGGCUUCUGUGAUCUCAUCUCUUUGUGUUCAUCUGUGUACCUAACCUAGAAAAAAUCGCAACUCAGAGGCCACUUUCUACCAAACUUAAC